Non-coding RNA from Salvelinus sp. IW2-2015, 95 nucleotides. The record is from RefSeq and is a predicted model, not a curated record. NCBI's taxonomy places the organism in Eukaryota, Metazoa, Chordata, Actinopteri, Salmoniformes, Salmonidae.
AGGCUGGUCCCAGGUCUGUAGGUGCUGUAUAGUCAGCUUCUAUAGCCACUGUAGGCUGGUCCCAGGUCUGUAGGUGCUGUAUAGUCAGCUGCUAU